GACGAACGCUGGCGGCGUGCUUAACACAUGCAAGUCGAACGGAAAGGCCCUGCUUUUGUGGGGUGCUCGAGUGGCGAACGGGUGAGUAACACGUGAGUAACCUGCCCUUGACUUUGGGAUAACUUCAGGAAACUGGGGCUAAUACCGGAUAGGAGCUCCUGCUGCAUGGUGGGGUGUGGAAAGUUUCGGCGGUUGGGGAUGGACUCGCGGCUUAUCAGCUUGUUGGUGGGGUAGUGGCUUACCAAGGCUUUGACGGGUAGCCGGCCUGAGAGGGUGACCGGCCACAUUGGGACUGAGAUAAGGCCCAGACUCCUACGGGAGGCAGCAGUGGGGAAUAUUGCACAAUGGGCGGAAGCCUGAUGCAGCAACGCCGCGUGCGGGAUGACGGCCUUCGGGUUGUAAACCGCUUUCGCCUGUGACGAAGCGUGAGUGACGGUAAUGGGUAAAGAAGCACCGGCUAACUACGUG
RNAcentral lists this ribosomal RNA (468 nucleotides) under uncultured bacterium. RNAcentral describes it as "partial 16S ribosomal RNA". It matches the Rfam family "Bacterial small subunit ribosomal RNA", at positions 28 to 507 of the family's 1533-position model. The record is from RNAcentral.